GAGAGGGGGGGAUAUUGAUGAAAAUAAUACUGUAGAAAUAAAGAAAUUGUCCAAGGAAAAUUUCAGUACGAAGCAAAAGUUCAGCCAAUCUAUAAGUAUUUAUCCAUGGGUUCUUACUUUCUUGCAUACAUUUGUUUCAAACUGCGGCUUCAUACGAUAAGUGGAAGUUUAAAACCCUGAAAAAUUUAAAUAAUCUGAGAUUUAUUUCUUGGGAAAGCGCAG
This 222-nucleotide small RNA is filed under the name Bacillus methanolicus MGA3. Its description in RNAcentral is "non-coding RNA with unknown function". Lineage: Bacteria; Bacillati; Bacillota; Bacilli; Caryophanales; Bacillaceae. The record is from RNAcentral.